ACGGAAGGCAGCAGUGGGGAAUAUUGCACAAUGGGCGAAAGCCUGAUGCAGCGACGCCGCGUGAGUGAAGAAGUAUUUCGGUAUGUAAAGCUCUAUCAGCAGGGAAGAAAAAUGACGGUACCUGACUAAGAAGCACCGGCUAAAUACGUGCCAGCAGCCGCGGUAAUACGUAUGGUGCAAGCGUUAUCCGGAUUUACUGGGUGUAAAGGGAGCGCAGGCGGUACGGCAAGUCUGAUGUGAAAGCCCGGGGCUCAACCCCGGUACUGCAUUGGAAACUGUCGAACUAGAGUGUCGGAGGGGUAAGCGGAAUUCCUAGUGUAGCGGUGAAAUGCGUAGAUAUUAGGAGGAACACCAGUGGCGAAGGCGGCUUACUGGACUGUAACUGACGUUGAGGCUCGAAAGCGUGGGGAUCAAACAGGAUUAGAUACCCUGGUA
RNAcentral lists this ribosomal RNA (435 nucleotides) under uncultured Roseburia sp. RNAcentral describes it as "partial 16S ribosomal RNA". It matches the Rfam family "Bacterial small subunit ribosomal RNA", at positions 341 to 792 of the family's 1533-position model. The record is from RNAcentral. Lineage: Bacteria; Bacillati; Bacillota; Clostridia; Lachnospirales; Lachnospiraceae.